Non-coding RNA from Poeciliopsis prolifica (blackstripe livebearer), 655 nucleotides. The record is from the annotation of a RefSeq genome assembly. Lineage: Eukaryota; Metazoa; Chordata; Actinopteri; Cyprinodontiformes; Poeciliidae.
CUUUGCAGCAGCAGAAAUUGUAUUUCUUCAGUGGAAAAUCGUUUGCUGAAAGUGCAGGAGGUUUUUGUACGGCCUCUCAAUGAGUUUGUAUCACUGUGGUACACUUUUGGUGGAGGAACCAAACUCAUCCUUAACUCCGGCCCCACGGUCAGACCCUCGGUCUCUCUGCUGCCCCCCUCCUCCCAGCAGCUCUCCGGCGGCUCGGCCACGCUGCUCUGCCUGCUGAGCGGCUACUCUCCUCAGGGAGCCCGGGUGAGCUGGGAGGUGGACGGCACGGCGGUGACAGAGGGGGUCCUGAGCAGCUCAGAGGAGGAGAAGAGCGGACGCUACGGCAGCAGCAGCACCCUGAGCCUGAGCCAGGAGACGUGGAUGAAAGGGGAGCUGUACUCCUGCAGGGUGGAGCAUCAGGGCCACAGCCAGGUCCAGAGCAUCUCAAGGAGCCAGUGUGAGGGCCAGAGAGGCUGAGAGCAGGAGCUCUGAGUGGGAGAGCAGCAGGAAAAACAGCUGCUGCUCUCAGCAAUAGGAGUCUGGAGGAAGACAAACUAAAGCUUGUGUGACGCUGAACUAAACUGCUGAGAAAAGUUUAACAACUUAGAUUAAUGUGUGAAGCUGAUGUGAGUGGGAUUCACUUGCUGUGUGUUUUAAUAAAGCUUGC